CAGGCACCUAAGCUGUCUGUCGUAGCAGCAGUUUAAACAGGAGGUGCUGGCAGCAAGCAAUCUCAUCCCCUUUGGGGGCUAGAGCUGUGCCCCUCAAAGUGAAUUGGAAGGCUCUCUACCC
Myotis lucifugus (little brown bat) is the source of this 121-nucleotide small nucleolar RNA. Ensembl annotates it as small nucleolar RNA SNORA68. The record is from Ensembl. NCBI's taxonomy places the organism in Eukaryota, Metazoa, Chordata, Mammalia, Chiroptera, Vespertilionidae.